RNAcentral lists this ribosomal RNA (301 nucleotides) under uncultured bacterium. Its description in RNAcentral is "partial 16S ribosomal RNA". It matches the Rfam family "Bacterial small subunit ribosomal RNA", at positions 509 to 807 of the family's 1533-position model. The record is from RNAcentral.
CAGCAGCCGCGGGAACACGUAGGGCGCAAGCGUUAUCCGGAAUUAUUGGGCGUAAAGAGCUCGUAGGCGGUUUGUCGCGUCUGCCGUGAAAGUCCGGGGCUCAACCCCGGAUCUGCGGUGGGUACGGGCAGACUAGAGUGAUGUAGGGGAGACUGGAAUUCCUGGUGUAGCGGUGAAAUGCGCAGAUAUCAGGAGGAACACCGAUGGCGAAGGCAGGUCUCUGGGCAUUAACUGACGCUGAGGAGCGAAAGCAUGGGGAGCGAACAGGAUUAGAUACCCCUGUAGUCCCUGUCUCUUAUAC